This is a transfer RNA of Firmicutes bacterium CAG:110, 71 nucleotides long. It matches the Rfam family "tRNA". Rfam says of the family: Transfer RNA (tRNA) molecules are approximately 80 nucleotides in length. Their secondary structure includes four short double-helical elements and three loops (D, anti-codon, and T loops). NCBI's taxonomy places the organism in Bacteria, Bacillati, Bacillota. The record is from Rfam.
AGAGGAUUUGUGUAACGGUAGCACACCGGACUCUGACUCCGUUUGCGGGGGUUCGAAUCCCUCAUCCUCUG